RNAcentral lists this ribosomal RNA (253 nucleotides) under uncultured bacterium. RNAcentral describes it as "partial 16S ribosomal RNA". It matches the Rfam family "Bacterial small subunit ribosomal RNA", at positions 524 to 776 of the family's 1533-position model. The record is from RNAcentral.
UACGAAGGGGGCUAGCGUUGCUCGGAAUCACUGGGCGUAAAGCGAACGUAGGCGGCUUUUUAAGUCCGGGGUGAAAUCCUGGAGCUCAACUCCAGAACUGCCUCUGAUACUGAAAGGCUUGAGUCCGGGAGAGGUGAGUGGAACUGCGAGUGUAGAGGUGAAAUUCGUAGAUAUUCGCAAGAACACCAGUGGCGAAGGCGGCUCACUGGCCCGGUACUGACGCUGAGGUGCGAAAGCGUGGGGAGCAAACAGG